AUUGAACGCUGGCGGCAGGCCUAACACAUGCAAGUCGAGCGGAUGAAGGGAGCUUGCUCCUGGAUUCAGCGGCGGACGGGUGAGUAAUGCCUAGGAAUCUGCCUGGUAGUGGGGGAUAACGUCCGGAAACGGGCGCUAAUACCGCAUACGUCCUGAGGUAGAAAGUGGGGGAUCUUCGGACCUCACGCUAUCAGAUGAGCCUAGGUCGGAUUAGCUAGUUGGUGGGGUAAAGGCCUACCAAGGCGACGAUCCGUAACUGGUCUGAGAGGAUGAUCAGUCACACUGGAACUGAGACACGGUCCAGACUCCUACGGGGGGCAGCAGUGGGGAAUAUUGGACAAUGGGCGAAAGCCUGAUCCAGCCAUGCCGCGUGUGUGAAGAAGGUCUUCGGAUUGUAAAGCACUGUAAGUUGGGAGGAAGGGAAGUAAGUUAAUACCUUGCUGUUUUGACGUUACCAACAGAAUAAGCACCGGCUAACUUCGUG
This 484-nucleotide ribosomal RNA is filed under the name uncultured bacterium. RNAcentral describes it as "partial 16S ribosomal RNA". It matches the Rfam family "Bacterial small subunit ribosomal RNA", at positions 30 to 507 of the family's 1533-position model. The record is from RNAcentral.